Molecule: long non-coding RNA, 249 nt
Filed under: Lathyrus oleraceus (garden pea)
Lineage: Eukaryota; Viridiplantae; Streptophyta; Magnoliopsida; Fabales; Fabaceae
Description: Pisum sativum (pea) long non-coding RNA (PSAT_LNC013810)
Source: RNAcentral
UGGAACAUUUUUUCUGGACAUGCAUGAACACGUGCACUGUUCAUCUUCAUGAAGAUGAAGAUCUUGAGUUUCCAGGUUUUGCUACCAUUCUGCUUGGAAUUUGCUACGAAAUUCAAAUUAGCUACGGUUUUGAGCGCGCUAGGGUUUUAGGAUUGGAACGGUGUCGUUUUGAUGUUAAGCGCCAAAUUUGAAUGUGAACGUGGUUCGAGUCCUCCUGAGUGCAAAAUAUUCAAAUGCCUUGUUAUUUUC